This 300-nucleotide ribosomal RNA is filed under the name uncultured Burkholderia sp. RNAcentral's name for it is "bacterial SSU rRNA". It matches the Rfam family "Bacterial small subunit ribosomal RNA", at positions 114 to 417 of the family's 1533-position model. The record is from RNAcentral. Lineage: Bacteria; Pseudomonadati; Pseudomonadota; Betaproteobacteria; Burkholderiales; Burkholderiaceae.
UACAUCGGAACGUGUCCUGGAGUGGGGGAUAGCCCGGCGAAAGCCGGAUUAAUACCGCAUACGCUCUGUGGAGGAAAGCGGGGGAUCUUAGGACCUCGCGCUCAAGGGGCGGCCGAUGGCAGAUUAGCUAGUUGGUGGGGUAAAGGCCUACCAAGGCGACGAUCUGUAGCUGGUCUGAGAGGACGACCAGCCACACUGGGACUGAGACACGGCCCAGACUCCUACGGGAGGCAGCAGUGGGGAAUUUUGGACAAUGGGGGCAACCCUGAUCCAGCAAUGCCGCGUGUGUGAAGAAGGCCU